RNAcentral lists this ribosomal RNA (460 nucleotides) under uncultured bacterium. RNAcentral's name for it is "partial 16S ribosomal RNA". It matches the Rfam family "Bacterial small subunit ribosomal RNA", at positions 338 to 795 of the family's 1533-position model. The record is from RNAcentral.
CCUACGGGAGGCAGCAGUGAGGAAUAUUGGUCAAUGGGCGAGAGCCUGAACCAGCCAAGUCGCGUGAAGGAUGACGGCCCUACAGGUUGUAAACUUCUUUUGUCAGGGAGCAAUUGAGUCCACGUGUGGGCUUAGCGAGAGUACCUGAAUACAAAACAUCGGCUAACUCCGUGCCAGCAGCCGCGGUAAUACGGAGGAUGCGAGCGUUAUCCGGAUGUAUUGGGUUAAAGGGGUGCGUAGGCGGAAUAUCAAGUCAGCGGUAAAAAUUCGGGGCUCAACCGCGUCGUGCCGUUGAAACUGAUGUUCUUGAGUGGGCGAGAAGUAUGCAGAAUGCGUGGUGUAGCGGUGAAAUGCAUAGAGAUCACGCAGAACUCCGAUUGCGAAGGCAGCAUACCGGCGACCAACUGACGCUGAAGCACGAAAGCGUGGGUAUCGAACAGGAUUAGAUACCCCUGUAGUC